GAGGAACCCGGUGCGAAUCCGGGGCUGUCCCGCAACUGUGACCAGGGGAGUUCCCUCUCGAACGGGCCACGGCACCAGUGCUGGAAGGCCGAGGGGGAGCGGUGAUCCGGGAGCCAGGAGACUC
RNAcentral lists this non-coding RNA (124 nucleotides) under Actinomadura sp. Lineage: Bacteria; Bacillati; Actinomycetota; Actinomycetes; Streptosporangiales; Thermomonosporaceae. The record is from RNAcentral.